GGUAAGAUGGCCGAGAAAUAGGCAGUGGGUUGUAGCCCCAUUUACAGAGGUUUAAGUCCUCUUCUUUCCA
RNAcentral lists this transfer RNA (70 nucleotides) under Ameerega hahneli. Its description in RNAcentral is "tRNA-Tyr". It matches the Rfam family "tRNA". From Rfam's summary of the family: Transfer RNA (tRNA) molecules are approximately 80 nucleotides in length. The record is from RNAcentral. Lineage: Eukaryota; Metazoa; Chordata; Amphibia; Anura; Dendrobatidae.